RNAcentral lists this transfer RNA (72 nucleotides) under Bimuria novae-zelandiae CBS 107.79. It matches the Rfam family "tRNA". Rfam says of the family: Transfer RNA (tRNA) molecules are approximately 80 nucleotides in length. Their secondary structure includes four short double-helical elements and three loops (D, anti-codon, and T loops). Further hydrogen bonds mediate the characteristic L-shaped molecular structure. tRNAs have two regions of fundamental functional importance: the anti-codon, which is responsible for specific mRNA codon recognition, and the 3' end, to which the tRNAs corresponding amino acid is attached (by aminoacyl-tRNA synthetases). tRNAs cope with the degeneracy of the genetic code in two manners: having more than one tRNA (with a specific anti-codon) for a particular amino acid; and 'wobble' base-pairing, i.e. permitting non-standard base-pairing at the 3rd anti-codon position. Lineage: Eukaryota; Fungi; Ascomycota; Dothideomycetes; Pleosporales; Didymosphaeriaceae. The record is from Rfam by way of RNAcentral.
GCUCACUUGGCCAAGUGGUAAGGCGUCGCACUUGUAAUGCGAAGAUCGCUCGUUCGAUUCGGGUAGUGAGCA